AGAGAAAAUAAAAAAACAGAAAAACUAAAAACUACAAUAAAGACUAAAGCUACAAAGAAAAACAAGCAAAAGCAACAAACAAAAAACACCUAAAAAUAAAUUAAGGGGAUCAUGGAUGAUAAAGCACCAAUUCCGAGUAUAGAACUCGAACAUUUGCAAAGUUGCCGCAGAUCCAAAGAACUGGAAUCCUCAUCUUUGUUGCCAAGAGCUCCUCUUUCCGAGACCUGCCCUUAAACCUCGCAAGUGAGAAUAGCCUAUAGCUUCUCCAAGAACUAUGAAAACGAACCAACUUCAGAAGAUCAAGCUACACCCGGCGGCAUAGGAGCUUCUACUAGCAAUCAGAGAAGUUGCCUCCGGCCAGCAUCCUCAAGCUAUAAAAUCCUGAAGAAUCAUCUCCCAAGGUUGCAACAGAGCCGCCAAAGUCAGACCGAUGCCUCUAUUCAACACCUAAUCACCACCAACACUGCAGCAGACCAAAACUCAAUUGAAUAAUCCCAUGUCCAUAACCUUUGAAGCGAAGCCACGCUGGAAACCAUAAUAGAUCUGGAUAGAUCCGAAGAGCAAACAAAGGGGAAACUCUGAACUCCACCACAUUGAAGCGCCACCCCCAGCCAUCACCGAAGAGGUGCUCACGCCAGACCCAAGACAUCCGCCUAGGCAUAACCUCACGAAGGAGAAUAUGCACACGCCGAAAAGAGAUGCCACUAAUGAGACGUCGCACCCUGACCACCGCACUUGACUGGAGCAGGGACAGUACUCAAAUCCCUGCCAUUGAGAAAGAGCAGACGAACCAGAGAGAGGCCAAAACACCAUUUUGAUCGAAAGAUCACUUAAGACGAGACAAGAAGAGGUAGACAGAUCGCCGAUGAACUGCCAAACGCCACACAAUUACAAUGAAUAGAUCUGUCACCUCAACCACCAGAUAAUCUUUCCCAAAGUGGUGACUCCUCAACUUCCCUGCUGAAAACUGAAUAAGCAGAGAAGCAUAACCGAACAAAAGAAAGCAGAACAGCCCUCUCCAGACAGAGGUGAGGAGCACCGACCACGGAGAGCUGGAACGAGCUAAGGCGAAGAGGAGUGGCAGCUGCAAGUCGAGAAAGAAUAUAAGAAGAACUUAUUAAGCACUCACAAUAAUGUUUACAAGUUAUGGGAAUAUAAAAUAACAUAAUAGUAUUUAACACUUUCGUACUAUUAUUAAAUUAAGUUCCCGACACAACAUAUUUCUGGAAACACACACAACAAAGAAUUACAAUACAAAAUAACACCCAAUUAACAUAUAUUGCAGCAUCCAUAAUUACUAUGUAUAGUAAAUUCACAUGAAACAUAUAAAGUUAGUCUUAUAUAAGUUAAGAAAAAAAGAACAAGAGAAAGUGAGUAACUCCUAGAGAAAAAUAAAGGAAUCAGUAUUAUAUAAAUGAAAAGAAACACAAACAAAAAUAAUGUACGAUAAUUAUAAACUGUAUAAAAUAAUUCUUUUUUUAACUAUAAACAAAACCGGUGAGAAAGAAAAAGAAAUUUAAAUUUGAUAAACGCAGGUUGGAUAAUUAAGAACUAAAGCAAGUCAUUUUGGAAGGUUGGAAGUAAGAGGAUUUGCCACCAGAAGCUAAUAUAAUGAAUCAUAUUGCCAGUUGUAGAAAGGCAUUGAGUCAAUGGAGGAGACAAAACAAUGUGAAUACAGAAAAGCAAGUGGAGGAGCUUAAAGAAAAGGUGGAGGAUCUAUAUUCAAAUGAUGAUGCUACCUCUGAGGAAAUAGCUGACGCGCUUAAGGAACUAACUACUGCUCUUAAGGCAGAAGAGAUGUUUUGGAGACAGAAUAGUACGGUUCUCUGGUUAAGGGAAGGUGAUAAGAACUCUAAAUAUUUUCAUGUGCUGGUGAAGCAGAAAAGAGCGAGGAAUAGGAUCACACAACUUCUAGACGAGAAUGGAAACGUGGUGGAGGAUGAGGAAGGAUUAGUAGCCAAUGCUACUAGCUAUUUCAGGCAAAUUUUUGAGUCUUCAAACCCGGAGGAUAUAGACGAUGCUUUGACAGAGGUAUCAACAUCGAUUACUGGGGCAGUAAAUGAGGACCUCACAAGACUAGUAACUGAAUGGGAGGUAAAACUGUCUCUUUUCGCAAUGCACCCAGAAAAAGCCCCAGGGCCAGAUGGAAUGACGGCUCUUUUCUAUCAGAAGUUUUGGGAUAUUGUCAAAGAGGAAUUAAGUCUUAUGGUUAAUCAGUUUCUUUUCGAAGGAACAAUGGCGCAUGGAUUAAAUGAUACUAAUAUCUUCCUAAUUCCACAGACGGAUAAGCCGAAAGAGAUGACAAAAUUUAGACCUAUCAGCAUGUGCAAUGUCAGUUAUAAAAUAAUAUAUAAGGUCUUAUGCCAAAGAUUGAAGAAGGUCCUCCCACAACGGAUAUCAGAAACCCAGUCAGUUUUUGUUGCAGGGAGACAGAUCACAGAUAAUAUCAUGAUAGCUCUGGAGAUGUUUCACGCUCUAAGAACCAAACAAGGUAGACAAGUCAAGAGAAUGGGCAUAAAGACGGAUAUGAGUAAAGCAUAUGAUAUGAUUGAUUGGUCAUUCAUUGACGCUGUCAUGCGGAAGAUGGGUUUUUCAGAAAUAUGGAUUGGCUUGAUUAUGAGUGUAUUACCUCGGUCAAGUACAAAGUACUCAUGAAUGGAGACGCAAGGGGAAAUAUUGUUCCAGGUAGAGGUUUACGUCAAGGAGAUCCUCUGUCUCCUUUCAUAUUUAUUCUAUGCACAGAAGCGCUCGUUAGCCUUCUUAAUCAUGCAGAGAAUCAAGGGAAGAUAACGGGCACGCGAGUCGCAUGCGCUUGCCCCUCGGUAUCACACCUUCUCUUUGCUGAUGAUAGCCUUUUCUUUUGUAAGGCAGAACCCUGUGAAUAUGAAGAAGUUAUGAAAGUAGUCACGAAAUAUGGGAAAGCAUCAGGACAAUGUAUUAACUUUCAUAAAUCCUCAUUACUCUUUGGUAAGAGGAUUUUUGCUAAUGAUCGACAGCUGAUUAAAGAUACACUUGGUAUCCAAAAUGAAGGGGGGGAUGGGAUCCUACUUAGGAAUUCCAGAGGAUAUUAGUGGAUCUAAGUGUAGGCUAUUUGUGUUCUUGAAAGAAAAACUACUACACAGAGUGAAUGGAUGGACAGGUAGAUAUGGCUAUCAAAAGGUGGAAAAGAAGUUCUAAUAAAAUCUAUCCUGUUAGCUCUUCCGACAUAUGUCAUGUUCAGUUUCUACUCCCUUUGGAGAUAUGUGAAAACCUUGCGAGUGCCAUCGCACAAUUCUGGUGGAGUUCAAAUCCACCAAAGCAUGGGAUCCACUGGGCUAAAUGGGAGAAGAUGUGUGCCCCUAGAGAGGAGGGAGGUAUUGGUUUUCGCAUGAUCCACGAAUUUAACCUUGCCCUUCUGGCGAAACAGCUUUGGCGUCUUGUACUAUUCCCAGAUUCACUAGUGGCGAGAGUUCUUCGGGGAAGAUACUAUCGAUUGAGUUUGCCUUUGCGAAUCGGUGCAGUGGAUAGUCCAUCGUAUGUGUGAAUGAGUUUCAUACCGGCAAGAAAACUUUUACUCUUGGGCAUCAUGAGUAAAGUGCACCCAAAUUAAUGUUUGGCAAGAUCCAUGGAUUCCUUCGAUUCCAGCAAGACCGGCGUGCCCAGAGCCCCAUUAGUUAAUCCAGAGAUGUUAGUCAGUAAUCUUAUCGAUUUUGAAUCAAAGGAGUGGGAUACUCUAAUACUAGAUCAAUAUGUAGAACGAGAGGAUAUAUCUAUUAUUCAGAGUCUGGCCAUAAGCCCUACUCAUCGACGCGAUAAUUCUCCACUCAUGAAAGACUGUGUAUGCAAUGUUCUCCAUUCAUGAAAGACUAAACUGUGUUAAUAAUUUGAUUGAUAUAGUUUGUGGUGUUGGAGACUUAUUGUUUGUUUGUUUUUAAUUUGUUACUUGUACUGUUGAGAUUACAUUAAUUAUAUUAAGGUUAUCGAGAGUACUUUUGUUUCUGAAUAUAUUUUCUCCAGUCUGGUAGUGUAAGUUAUGUAUAUUAAGUAAUAUUAUUUUAUUCUUAUUAUGUUGAUUAUAUGCUUUUUUUUUUAAUUUUAAACUUGUUGCUUUUAUCGGACCUUUAAAACAAAUACAUGAAGACUUGUAGAAAUAACUAUAAAAUGAGUGACAAUUAGUAUUUGGGCUAUAAUGGCUUUUAAACGAAUAUAUGUAUUUUUCAUAAGAAGACAAUAGCAUUGGUCUGUUGACAUUGAGCAUGUAAGCUAUUUUCAUAAGACAAGAGGAGUGAGCAAGUGGAGAUGUUCUUGCCUCCUUUGUGUCUGUUGGGAUUGUGUCUUGUAUCUCCUGGUGUGACGGUGUUUGUUUCUCUUUUGUUUGAUGGGUAAUAUGUAAACAAAAAUCAUUGUUAUUUGUAUUUAUCAGAGUUUGUAACUUACUCUGCUUUUUUGUUUAGGUAAUUUUACUGAUCUUGGUAGUUUGUAAAUUGUUAAACAGCUGGCCGUUUAGUUUGUAUUUGUUUAGUUGUCUCAAUGUAUGUGUCGUUGAGUUUUUGUUGAGUUUGAUUGGUUUGGUAUACUUAUUUUGAAGUUUAUUUGUAAGACUAGACAAAAAGAGAGGUGAUCAUUAAUGAUGCAUCUUUUUGAGAUUCUAGUUUUUGGUGUUUUGAUUGUUUGAGUUAUUGUGAUUUCUUUUAAGCUGUAAAAUAAAGAUUUAUGUAAAAUUAGAUUGAUAAGAAAGGGAGAUAAAUAGACAACCACAAAUCUUGGGUAUGAAAUAUUUUUUAUUAUUGAUGUUAGCACAAUAUAGACAAUAAUAUAAAGGAAAUUAUGUGUUGAUUUUUUCUUAGGGAUCAAUGAAGAGACGAAUAACGACUCGAGCUGUUUCUUUGGUGAGAUUAGUGCCGUGGACAUAACAUAUUUGCCCAACCACAUCUGCGAGUUUAAAUAUCAGUUAUGAUAUCAAAACAUAAUAUCAACCCAGAUGCAACAUGAUAAUAUACUUGGGAGUUCUAGGUUUGUGUUCGCAAUCACUUGGAGAUUGUCGAACAGUCUAAUCUUAACUGGAGAUAGAUCUCCAGAGCACCCGUGAUGACUUCAACAAUAAUGGUUAGUGAGAUAAAACAAAUUAGGAAUGGAUGAUCAGUUAUCUUGUACAUGCUUGAGCACCUAGCAACCUCAAAACGAUAGACUUUCACAAUGGAACCUGCUUUCAAAAGAUGACAUGUAAGGAUUAGCACGUCCGACGGGAGUAAACCUAUGAAUCACGGAAUCUGCAAAUAAUAUUAUUCAACAAAGAAUCAGGAAAUCAAUUAAAACAGUUAUGUUAAAUAAGUGUGAUAGAUCGAAGAUUAACUUACGUUUUCAUCAAGGAAGAGAACCGUGAUUCCGACAAACUCCCUGUCUUUCUUGAAGUUCAUGGAUCCCAGAAGCGAGGAAGUCAGAGGCUAUGCUCUGACUUCUACGACCAAGACGGAGAUAAUCGAAGGUUGCAUGACGGACGCCGGAACGCCGGUUUGACGAACUGGAGAGGCAGAGAAAAACAUUUUCUAGAAGAUGGUUAAAUCUAAGAGGAAUCAAUGAGUUUUGUGCAUAUGCAGAUUGGGUCAUCAAAGAUGAGAAUCAUAUAUGGGGUUUACAGAGGGGCUACAAAUCAGGAACAUUUAUGAUCAAAUGAUUUAAGAUGUGGACAUGAAGAGUUCACCGGUGAAAGAAUAUAUUACGAACAGAUAAAGGCCCAACUUUGUAACUCAGACUUGUUUGAGACAAUGAUGAAAAGAACUUAAACUCAUGUUAAACGACAACAGUUUACAAUAUGGGAAAACUAGAUUAUGGGGGAGAAAAUUUUAAUUUUUCUCGGUUUAUUUAAUUAUGGGGGAGUGAGAGAUAAAACAAUGUUCCUGGUUUUUGUGGUUUUGGUUUUAUGUUUAUCUCUAACUCUUGAACUUGCAUAUUUUGAACCUUCAUUUCAGUUUAAUGCACAUAUUAUUCAGGAUAUAUGUGUUCGAAUGUGUGUGGUUGUUUGAGUGGAUCUGUGCAGGUACUUGAGAGGAAUCCAAACUAAAAGGGGGAGAUUGUAGAUGCAAAGAUCAGAUAGAUGUUCUGAUACAGACGCAAGUACAUCAGUGAAUAGAGCAGAGUCUGUAACAGUGAAGUGUACGUGCGGAUGAACAAGUCAAGAUGAAGAUUGCGACUUAAGGAAUGGAAUGCGGACCAAGGCGAAGUUAAUACGAAGACAUCUUGGGGAGCAAGCUUGAAGAGAUUCACCUUGGAGAAGGGAGAUCUCACGAUGGGAAGUUUCUUAAAGACUUUGGACAGGUUUUAGGGUUGCCUUAUUUGGGUAGAUAGUGAAUAUUGGAUAGAUAGGCGUGGAUAGCCGACUUGGCUGUAUUGUAUAUAUAGUCAUACUCGACAUGUGGAUUAGGGUUGUCGAGAGAAUUGUAUUCUUAGCAUAAAAGUGGAGUUCACUAAGCUUGUAAGCGAGUGAAUAACACUAAGGGCUAAGGGGUAGAGGUUCUAGAGAUCUUGUAUUCGAUCUUAGGACGUGUGAGGCUAGGGGAGCAAGUCAAGAAGGGUCUUGAUCUUGUUCGGGUUCUGUUUAAAGAGAGACUUGUAAGUUCACUUUAAAAGAAUACUAGUAAUAGCACAUAUCUUUGUAAAGAUAUUUUCUGGUGUACUCUCUGCUUUACUUUGUGGGUUAGUUCUUGCAUUUACAUUGGCCACCUCUAGUAAUAACUCAUACGGUUAAACUCUUAUAUACUUUUGUUUUAAAUCUAUUUGUUUUUACUGAGACAAAUAAUAAAUAAUUAAAAAUAAUAAUGCUUUACAUAAUUAGAAGUUUACAUGUUACUUUAUUCAUAUUUCGGUGGUUAUCACUUCUGAGUGUAAUAUUAUUCUUUCUCAAUAUUUAUCUCAAAUUUGUGUUUAGUCUAUAAAUAUUUUAAGUUUGUAUAGUAAUGCUUUUAUCUUCGUUUGAAAAUCAAUUAAAAAUAUUGAGUUACUUAAUUAUUUUAUCUAUGCAAAACAAUUACAAAGGCCAUUUUAAAAUAUUUUUUCUUAUUUUCAAAUUUGUUUAUACUUUUUCCUAGCAUAAAUAGAAAUUUGUUAUAGUUUAGAACUAUUUUUUUGCUAAUUUAAUUAUUAGUUGUUUGUAAUGUAAUGAUGCUGUUUUUUUGUCAACAAUAAUAUUAUUUAAUAAUUUUGAUGUAUUUUUGAAAAAUGAUUUUCUUUUUUUCUUUUUUGUUUCGGGCAGCUAUAAAAGCUCGCAUGACUCUGAUGGAAAUAAAUAAAUCCCAUACAACUAUCAUAAGCAGAUUUGAAAUUCGGACUAUGCAAACAAAUUGUAAGAAAUUUCGGAUCUUACUAAUCUUUCCUACUUGUUUAGUUAAUCCGAGUAAGUAACAAUUAAAGAUCACAUUCGCCAUCCAAUAUCGAUUUACUGUAGACUAUGAAGCGCUUGAAAGGAAGGAGAGAUAAAGUGAAGAAGAUCCUAACCUGAGGAACUCCUUUACCAGAGCAAACCUUCUUCACAAGAAAGAUUGGUUGAAAUGGAAAUAAUUUGCCUUUUGGUCUCAGUACCUGCAUGAAAUGAGGAGGAAUCAUCCUGUUCAGAUUGAUCAAACAAUCCACCAAGUAUUGGGAUUGUCUAAUCCAAUGCAGGCCGUUGCAGAGAGAGAGAGAGGAAGAAACACUUCAAAGACCCUUGCACCUAGCACAUUCUGGCGCUUUAUAAAAACUAGAGAGAAUUUCUUUACAAUCGCCCAAAAAAAAACCACAAAUUACAAAACAGAUUGCAGACACGGAGAACACACAAAGAAGACACAUGAAUGCACUGUGCAGAUCAGUUAAUGAACUCACUAGAAGAUAACACCGAAGAAUUGAAAAGUCUGACAACCCAUCCCGCUCACUCGGAACCCAGCACACAGCCUUGCAUGGCACCGACCCUAACCCCUCAUCGUGGGAGGAAACGCAUCCACAUCCACCGGAAGGUUAUUUGUGCGCUUGGCGUUACUCGAUCCCAAGACUUCACCCUUUAACAACACUCCUCUAGGAUGAGUUGUCACCAAUUGAUCUGCAGAUCAAUUGGUGAAAACUCAUCCUAGAGGAGUGUUGUUAAGCGACUUUUUUUUGUGACAACCCGUCCCGCUCACUCAAAACCCAGCUCACAGCCCUGUAGGGCACCGAACCUAACCCCUCACCGUGGGAAAAAAUGCCUCCACAUCCAACGGUAGGUUAUUGGUGCGCUUGGCGUUACUUGUGAGUGAGGCCAAAUAACGGGGAAAGUCAAGCAUGAUUGGGCUGGAGUAGUGAAAGUAUCACACCCAUAUCUUGCUUAACAGAGACGGCAUGAAUUCACAUUGCCUUCAUCAACAAGAAACACUCAAAAGGCCAAUGCAAAUCUCAUUCCCAAGGAUCGAAUCCAAAUGUCUUACAAAAUUGUACUAAAACGAAUAGGAAACGCUUAAAACCAAAUCACCAAGUCUUAAAAUGAAAUAACUUAAAUAAAACCAAACAACCCGAAAACCAGCACCACACCGAGAUGACCACUCCUGCACUUCCUCGAACUCACCUGAAAAAGAAAGGAUGGGUGAGUAUUUCGACAAAUACUCAGUGAGGGAAGCUCUAGGAGACCCGAAAUCAAUCACCAACAAUCAUCACACAACAUAGCUUAAGCAUGUAACUUAAACAUUCAGUAAAUCGAAAGCAAACAACAAGAAACGAGGAUAAACCCCGACGGUGCCAACAUGAGACUAACGCCACAUCACGCUGUCUCCACGCCUCUCAUGUUGUCGUGUGAGAACUUGCCACAUCACGCUGUCUCCGUGAGUUCCACACCUUCACGCGAUCACGCCACAUCACGCUGUCUCCACGUGAUCCGGGCCACCACAUUCACGCGGUCACGCCACAUCACGCUGUCUCCACGUGAUCCGUGUUACUACAUUUUUACUUCACAUACAGGCACGGCGCAUGUCCUCUCUGGCGAUGAAUCAUGCCAACUCAAACGAUUGCCACAUGACCCAACAAGAAACGAUGUAACGCCCGAGACAUACAUAUAUGUCAUUCCACCACGUUACACCGGCACACAUAGGCCUUAAGCCUUUCUCUAACUCAUUUACAUCUCCCAAUUAUAUAGAUAUCAUACUCUUAUACAAUAACCCAAACCAAUACAAUCAUCACAUUCAAUCCUCAAACAUCAUUCAACCAUAUUUUAACAAUCUUAGCAAUAGAUCUAUGUUUUUCACACAUCAAGCAUCAAGAUAUUUAUAUAUAUCAUAUGUAUAUUUAUUUAUAUUAGUAGAUCUAUAGAAAGUAACAAGUAUGGAUGAAUGAUCAACCUAGACACUUCUACCAUGAUGAGAUAAUGAUAGAAGGAGAUAGAGAUUGCAACAAGCCCUCACCUUAGCCUAGAUCUGCGAUAUGAGAGAGUUGAUGUAGAUCUGAGUUCUACGGGUCCUUACUAACCAGAUCUACAAGAACAAGGGUUGGUUUCCACCCAAACCCUAGAUCACAGAUCAAGAAGAAGAAAGAGAUAGGAGAGAUCUAAAAGAGAGUGUUUAGGGUUUCCUUACCCUCACUAGUUGCUGGAUCUAGAAGAAAAAGAGUAGAAGACUCAAGGAAACGACGAGAAGGAAUCGAAACACGGCGAGAUCUCCUCUUCGGUGAGAUUACACGGUCGCUGGCGGUGCUACGGUGACUCGCGGUGGCUCCGGUGGUGGUUUGGUAGCCGGCGGCUCCUCUCUCUCCAACUGGGCAGGGCUUCGCUAGGUCUUGAGUCUCUGGAGAAAAUCUUAGGGGCUGCCUCCUUUUUAUAGAAGAGGAAGGGGAAAACCCUAGGGUUUUCUCUACAUGGGCCAAAUCAUCACGGGCCUUGUCACUAAAAAUUGGGCUCGGACCCGGGAUGUGACAGAAAGGAUAGGUGACCUAUCGGGAAGUGAUUUGCGAAACCAUGUGAGUGAGGCCAAAGCACGGAAAAGUUCAGGUGGUGAUUCCACGGUCAGUAAACAAUGAUUUCGAGGCUUUGAAAAAAUUUACAAACCGACUAUUGAAACGGGAUGGGGUCCACGGGCCAAGAGAGCAGGCGUGGGUGACCCAUAAGCCGUGGGUGGUUGGGGCAUUACAAGUGGUAUCAGAGCUGGUUAGCCAUCUCGGUUCUGACCUGAGAGGCGUCUUGAGACCUGUCGUGGGACGCAACGAGGACGUUGCAUAAUUGUAGCAUCCCUAGUUGUGAUAUAUGGAAAGGCUUAAGAGAAUUUAUUUGGCUACCCAUGUCACCAGAGGUGACUUACCUUUUCCGUAACACAUCCGUUUAGAACUCAUGGGUUAAACAUACUUGGGCUGGAGUAGUGAAAUGAUGGGUGACCUAUCGGGAAGUGAUUCGCGGUACCGUGUGAGUGAGACGAAAGUACAUUGGAAGGUCAGGUGGUGAUUGCAUGGUCAGUAAACAAUGAUUUUGAGCCUUUUUAAAAAAAUUAUGAACCAACUGUUGGAACGAGAUGGGGCCCACAUGCCGAGAGAGCGGGCGUGGAUGACCCAUUAACCAUGGGGUCGGGGUGUUAUAAGCAUAUAACUCCCGAGUAAGCCGGAUUCCGAGUGAGCGGGAUGGGCUGUCACAUAAAAGUCGACUUUUAAUGUGACAACCCGUCCCACUCAGUAGGACCCCAAGCUCACAGCCCUGCAGGGCACCGCCCCUAACUCCUCACCGUGGGAGGAAACACCUCUACAUCCACCGGUAGGUUAUUGAUAUGAUCAAUUGGAGAUAUCUCGUCAUGUGGGAGUUUUGUUAAAUGGUGAGGUCUUGAGUUCGAAGAAUGCCAAGCGCACCAACAACCUAAUUAUGGAGUGAGAGAGAACUCAUAAUGGAGGGGUUGAGGUUGGUGCCCUGUCAGGCUGUGAGCCUGGGGUCCUAGUGAGUGGGACGGGUUGUCACAAAAAGUCGACUUUUUAUCUGACAACCCGUCCCGCUCACUCGGAACCCGGCUCACAGCCUUGCUGGGCACCGAUCCUAACCCCUCACCGUGGGAGGAAACACCUCCACAUCCACCGGUAGGUUAUUUGUUCGUUUGGCGUUUACUCGAACCCAAGACAUCAUCCUUUAACAACACUCCUACAUGAUGAGUUGUCACCAAUCUUUUAACAUUUCAAAAGUGCACAAAAUUUUCAUAGAAAUCUAGUUUAUGUUGGUUAUUUUAUUCCGGUUUGGAUUCUCAGUCGACAUCAAUUUGAAUAAUAGAAUAACAUUUUGAUGUUAUAAUGACAAAAACAAUUAAAUAAACAAUUAUGUUUAGCUUUCCUAAAAAUGUAUUCCGAACCUGAAUCCUUUUUCCUCCAAAAUGUCAUUUAAGUUUGGCAAAAUUUGAUAUAUUAUCAACUAUAUAAUUAUUAUCAUUGUCAGGAUCCUUAUGGCCGAGUUAAAGAGACAAAUUGGCACGCCAACACAUUUUAGAUUCGAUCCACCUACUGCGGCGAAACUAGAUCACGUUAUCAUGGAGAUUUACAUGAAUAUGGACAGUCCACUUGAUUAUGUAAAGAGAGAUACUAUCCAUGGGCUGCAUCUAUUUUGAAAAUUACUCUAAACUUUUACAAAAGUCUGAAUAUCCUAGAUUAAUAAAAUUGAAGUACUAUCAUGGUUAAUGGCAGUACUUCGUGUUUAUAAUUUUCAUCUGUUAAAUAUGUUAUUGCAAUAUCCUAUUCCCGAAUUAUUUUUCCAUUUCUUUAACAUAUGCUUCAAAUAGGUAUUCUAAUACGCAACCAUUCUUUAUCCUCCUUCGAUCGCUACUACGUGAUUUGAUACUUAGAAUGUACAUGUUGCAAAUAAAAUAUACAUGUCUACACUCGAUAACCGUUGUUAAUGCUCAUGUCAUCCACGCAUUUCUGAUUUCUCAAGCUUCCUUUACGUUUUUCUUUUCUGACGUCAAAAGGCCAUUUUAUUACUCAAGUUUGAGGUGGUCUGGGUAACCAGACCGGAAUAAAACAACCAAUAAAAUGUAACUUCCUGCAGAAAGAUCUAGCAGUUUUAGCUAAAAAAUCUGAAAUCUGAUUGCGCAUUCGUAGAACAUGAAUGAUGUUGAAAUCCGGGAAGCAUAUCUGUAACGUCUCUAUGCUUUCCAAUUCCAUCGCAAAUCUUGGCCAGACAUGAGGCUCUUUUAUCAUUGCAAUCAGGUCCUUACAAUCUAUCCCAAAACUCUGGCAUGUUGAAUGUUGAAGCAUGUUCUCCAUUGACGACCGCAGUGUUUCUACUUCUGAAUGCAAGGAUGAUUCGCGUCGAGUGAAGUUUCUUGUCCCCAUAAGUUGAAUGUUUCCACCACUGUCCAUCCAGACCUAUCCACAUCCACUAAAGUGAGCAGAGGCUGUCCAAGAUCCAUCUAACAAGCAAAUAUUACCCAAGUUUAUGACUUGGGGUUCCUCAGUAUUGUUAUCUUGUACCACUGGUUGUACCACUUCGUUCGCAUCAAACUAGGCUUGACAUUCACUUUCUGCAUGUCGAACUAGCACCAAAGGAUCUCUGUCUAUUCCCCUCAAAAUUUUGUCAUUCCUAGCCUUCCAAAUAUACCAGAUUAUCCAGGGAUAAGGAUUCAUGUCUUGUUCUGGCUCGAUAAUGUUUUUUUCUUCCAGAAUAGGUAAUCCAUAUUUGUGUAGACGCUUGGUACUAGAUAUAUAUAUGGGCUUAUUGGAGUUGAUGAUAAGGAUCAAACUUGUACAGCUGGUGGGCACUCGAAUAUGGCUUGGGUUACAAAUACUUCUAGUUCACCACAUCUUGGGCAGUAGUUAUCAUACCUCAUAUUGCAUCUUGCUAAGUUCCUCGUUACUGCCACAUGACCAGUUAACAAUUGCCAUAUAAGUGACAUAUCUUUUUAGGCGCCUUUAACUUCCAAGCAAAGGCUUGAAGCUUAGUGAUACUCGGCUCCAAGACCUCCUUCUCCUCCUCUGCCUUUAAUAAAUUAUGAGCCACCCAAUAUUCAGAUUUAACCGUGUAUUGGCCAUUCCUUGUGUAGUUCCAGCAGAAUGUAUCACGACGAUGAGUUGAGCUUAUGGCCAAACUCCUAAUAAGCGGUAUGUCAUCAAGAUUGACAUAGUUCUCCAAUAGACCAACAUCCCAAUCCUUUGAAACUUGAUUAAUGAAAGCGCUAACUCUCGGAUUAGGAUGCAUAACUGGCGCUACAGGGAUAGCUGAUCUCGCAGGAGUCGUUGGGAUUCACGGAUCCUCCCACACCUUGACUUCAUAACCUGAAUGUAUCUUAUGUCUGAUUCUCAGUAAUAACAACUUCCUUGCAGCUGAAAUGCUAGUCCACACAUACGAUGGACUGCUAGCAGAGUUUACUCUGAGUGGUGAACUCCAUCUAUAAUAUCUUCCCCUCAAGACCCGGGCAACCAAAGAGUCAGAGUCAAGAAACUGAACUAGACUCCAUAACUGUUUUGCCAUUAGCGCCAGAUUGAAUCAUGGAUCAUACGAAAACCAAUAUCUCCGUCCUCUCUUGGUAAGCAGACUUUUUCCCAUUUCGCCCAGUGUAUUCCUCUUUUUGGUGGAUUUGAAGCCCAACAGAAUUGAGCAAUGACACUUGCUAGAUUAUCACAUAUCUUCAAAGGGAGCAGGAAAGUAGACAUAACGUAAGUCAGAAGAGCUGGCAGAAUGGAUUUAAUUAACAAUUUCUUCCCUUUUUUUGAGAGCCAUCUACUUGUUUAUCCAUUCACUCUAUGCAUCAACGUAUCCUUGAGAAUUGCAAAAAAGUUUGCACUUGGAACCAUUCUUUCUUCGUUUUGUAUUCCAAGUGCAUCUUUAAUCUCUUGUCUAAUAUUUGUAUUUGUCCACUUACUAAAGAGUAAGGACGAUUUAUAAAAGUUGAUACACUGACCUGAUGUUUUACCAUACUUCCUGACUACUUACAUUAUUUUUUCACACUCACGGGAUCCUGUCUUACAGAAAAAAGACUAUCAUCAGCAAAGAGAAGGUGAAAUAUCUACGGACACGUGCGAAUAACGCGCAUCCCCGUUAUCUUCCUUUAUCUUUCUGCAUGAUUGAGAAGCUAGUGAGUGCCUCUUAAGCUAGUGCCUCUUCAAUAUUUUCUGGCUUAGAUAAUUCAAAGAUCUUUCUAAAGUAAUUAGUAGUAAUGAUUACUAAUCCAUUUUUAUCUUUAAUUAUAUUUUUAUUUACAUCUAAGAGCUGCGUGAUUUUAUUCUUUGUUCCGCUUUGUUAAGGUGAUUUGGAUGGAUAUUUUCAUCGACUCGUCGUAAACUAACUAUAGCCAAGCGUUAAUCUAAUCAAAUGAAAUCCAUUAGAAUAUUCGUAUUAUGAGUAGAGAUAGCCAAGCAAAUUUUGCACCUUCGUUGGUAGUUACUACGUGUUGCUAUGCUACUCUAUGCUUUACUUUCACUGAAUAUAUUUGUCUGUAUACGGCUGUUUAAAAUCUGUCGGCAAGGACUUUUCCAAGAGGAUCCAAUGAUGAUAACAGUUUCUAAUAAUAAAACAAUUAUAACCAAAAAAUGAAAUCCUAUAUCUAUACGUGUGUGACUGCGCUGUGUUUAAGACAUUGGUAAUAAACAAUCUAAAAAACUGGUGGGGUUGCCAUUAAUAGAUUUUGAAAUAUAUUCACAAAUGAAUACAACCCACCAUAUGGGGACCAAUGUAUUCAUACUUUCAUAAUCUCCUUAUUUACUUUAAUGUUUGACUGGAUUAGGUAGACUGCAAUGAUUUUAUCUCAAAGUGGUAAAGUGGUAAAGAGAUCAUUCUUAAAUCUGUGGGAAUGGCGUUACCGGUCUUCGCGAUGAGCUGCUUUAGGUUACCUAAAGAUUUGUGUGCAAAACUAACGAGCAUCAUGACGGAGUUUUGGUGGGGAGGCACAGCAGGAAAGAAGAAAAUCUCAUGGGUUGCUUGGCAAAGGUUAUGUAAGCCUAAAGAACUAGGUGGAAUGGGAUUCAAGGACAUAGCUUGGUUUAAUCAAGCCUUGCUAUGCAAGCAAGCCUGGAGAAUAUGGUCUAAUCCUCAGUCCUUGCUGGCCAGAGUCAUGAAAAGCAGAUAUUUCAGACAGGGAGACUUCUUGGACUGUUCUAUAGGCAGUAGACCAUCGUACGCGUGGAGAAGCAUAGUACAUGGACGUGAGCUAUUAGCGCAAGGGAUCUUGAAGCGUAUUGGGAAUGGGAGCGAGACGCAUGUUUGGUAUGAUAACUGGCUUCUCCUACCCACACCUAGGCCUCCGAGAUAUAGAACAGAUGAAGUAGACCUUACGCUCACUGUACACGAUCUUAUUGACUCGAGACAUGGAACUUGGGAUGCCCAGAAGAUCCGACAUCUUUUUGUUGAGGAAGAUGCUUCUGCGAUUUUGGGAAUGAAGUUAAAUCUUCAGAGGGAAGAUACAAUGGUCUGGGCUUUUAGCAAGAACGGAAUGUAUGAUUCCCAAAGCGGCUAUAAAUUACUGAAUCUCAUACAGACAAUUGAGAGACCAAUGUCAGCUUCGAAUUUACCUCCUGUUGAGAGAAACUUGUGGUCUAAUCUAUGGAAGGUGAAAACGCUACCUAAGGUUAGGCACUUCAUGUGGCGUGCUUUGGCUGGAGCCCUAGCGGUCUCGGAACGACUGGCUUCUCGAGGUAUCAAUGUUGAAACUACUUGUAAGGUAUGUCAAUCUCAACCGGAGACCAUCUGUCAUGUUCUUUUUCACUGCCCGGUUGCGAAAGAGGUAUGGAGAUUAUCAGGCUUUCCUAUCCCAGCAGCGGGUUUCUCAACCAACUCAGUCUUUCUCAAUUUUCAUCACUUGCUCGAAAGUUGCAAGAAACGUCAUUUACCUGAGAAGACUAGAUUGGUAUUCCCGUGGGUUCUCUGGCAAUUAUGGAAAUCUAGGAACCGCUGCGUGUUCGAAAAUGUAGUUUUUGGAGCUAAGGAAGUAUGGGAGAGAAUCCAAGUAGAGGCAGAAGCUUGGAGAGCGGCUAACGUGACGGACAGGGAAGAUAGGGAUCAAGAUGCAGCUGGUGAUUCUACAUCAACGUGGCAAAAACCGUGCCCAAGCUUUGUUAAGUGUAACAUUGGAUCGUCUUGGGUUGAUGGAAACCAGAAUUGUGGGGUUGCUUGGUUGACAAGGAAUCAUGCUGGAGCAGCCUUAGCCCAUAGCCGUCGCUCAUAUUCUCAUAUCUCAUCAUCUUUAGAGGCUGAGCUACUGGGUUUUUAUUGGGCAUCUGAAAGCGUCUCGACGAUGAGAUAUGAAAAGGUGGUGUUUGAGUCCACCUCGUACCUAGCGGGCGAAGCAAUUUUAAAGCCUGGAAACUUCCCUCAAUGGCUCAGUUUGAUAGAAGCUAUAAGAGAGAAAUUGUCCCUGCUCAGAUUGUGGUCCAUUUCAUAUGUUAACAGAGGGGCGAACAGAUGUGCCGAUGCAAUUGCUCUCAGUGUCACUAGAGACCAAUGCUACGCGUCCUACAUAGCUACGGACUGCCCUGGAUGGUUACUGCCCAUUGUACGUGAGGAUGAGAGUGGGAUAUUCAGUGCGCAUUAGUUGGGGUUGCGGCGGUGCGAAUUCAUGACAGGCUUGAGAUACUUCCUUCGCAACGGCGAGUUUUACGGGAGUGGAGUGCUGUUGUUUGAUUUAUGUUGUUCUUUUUUUAAUUUUGAGUGUGGAGCCCUGUUGGUAUCUUCCACACUCUUUGUUUUCUCGUAUCUUUCGUCUUCUCUUCUUGUUCGAACCUUCACGUUAUAGUCACAAAGUGUUAAAAAAAAGGUAGACUGCAAGAAAAGGAAAAAACUUCUUGGAUAAACAAUGGUUAUUCAACAUAACAAGUAAUAUUGAUUAAUAUAUCUGUAAAAAUAUAGCAUAUUAUUUCUUACAAAAUUUGAUUUCUAAAAAAUAUGUAUUUUUAACACGGGACAGACAUAGUUUAUAGGGAUAAGAAAAGUCGAAGAUUUGUGUGGGAACCGAAAUUCGUACUGUCGAUUUCCGUUUAAAUUAGGAAACUAGAGAAACCUUAAUUUUCUAGAGGUUCUGGAUCUCUGCGAGAGCCAACGACAAGUGAUCAAAUAUAUGCGGAAAUCAUGAAAAGAUAAUAAACGAGUUUAGAGAAAACAGUAUAUCUUAUUUCGAGUCUGCGUAAGAGCGUUGUGAUCAUUACAAGAGAUCAUAAAAGCUUUGGCCGCAAAGGCUGUCAGCGAGUUACUUAGUUCUAGCGGCCUAAAAGCUCAAACCUAGUUGAGUCGCAGCUCGAUAACAAAAGACAAAAAAGAUACAUAAAAGGUUUUUGAUUGAUUUCGGACUGAACCUUGUUAAAGGCUGCCUACGUACCCCUUUCGAAGAUCAAGCCGAACGUAUUUCAAUUGACAGAGCAGGACAAGAGAUCGAAAUGCCUGGGCGAGUUCGUCUAGUAAUUGAGUGCCAGUCAUAGAAACCUAACUUGUCAAGAAUAAAGCCUAAAGUUUCUAAGUGCAGAGAAUUCUUAGUCUAAAAGAGUUCCCCCCCCCCAUGCCUCUCGCCUAGGACUCCUUAUAUACUCGCUCCAAGAUCGGUUUACGCUUUUACUCUUCUGCCCUUAAGCCGUCAUGUAAUGAGGAGGAAUCAUCCUGUUCCGUAUUUAUCCGCGGAAACUUGACAUUUAUCUUCCCUUGCGAACCAAGCGUAAACCGUCCUACGGUUUACGGGCUUUUGGUUAAGAAAUCUUGAGAUGGGCCUCGAGUCGUGUCUUAGGUCCCUUAGGACCGUCUUCUGACUCGAAACGUUUAUCGCGACUUCUUUUGAUAAAGAAUGGACUUUCCGCGGUUUUUUCCGCAAAGUUUGAUAGAUGAUUUAGAAUGAUCGGAAAACAUGAGCUGAGUUCACCACGGUCUUCGGGAGAUAGUGUCGAAGGAUAUACGAGAAUGCAUGGAUUGGUGUCGUAUCGACAUUUUCAAAGAGCUCGGUCACUGCAUAGCAACCGAGCGGGACGGACGCUCGGUCGCUACGUAGCGACCGAGCUUUGGCAAGAGCUCGUUCGCUACGUAGCGACCGAGCUGUGUGCAUGCUUGGUCGCCGCGUAUCGAUCGAUCUUGGCUUGUCUGCGGUCCGAUUGUCAUACUCGAGCUUGUCCGCGGCCGAUUUGGAUACAUGUCCGUUGCCUUCGGACAAUCGUAUUUAGUGGUUCGAUUGAGAUUUGAACAAGAUUUUACCGCAAGGCUCUUCGUAACGAUAUCCUUACGAGGAUUACUUUUCGUAAAAAUGUUCAUGAUGAUUUUUACGGACUUUCAGAGAUUGAUUUCGUCGUGACUAAUUUUGACCCCAACAGUUAGCCCCCCACCUCGUUAGAACCAUGAGCUUCUAGCGUGAGGUUCUAGCGAGUGGCUUGGCAAGUUAGGCAAGUAAGGUGAGUUAGGCGGAAUUAAUGGUCAGAAAAGGUCAGUGAAAAGUGGUCUUCUCGCUCUUCUAAAAGUAGAACACGAUAAGAUUGGGGCUGCGCCUUAUGACGGCUGCCUAUGUACCCUUGUUGAAGGGAUCAGGCCUUUCGAAGUUCGUCUUGGAGUUAAGGUUCUUAUGACUAGUUUUCAAGCGAAACCUUUACGGUUUAGUUUUUAUGUAGCGGUUAUCAGGAGUGUUGCUGCCGAUGGCAUUUUGUAAGGGUAUUGAAGGAAGACUACGAGUUGUCAUCUCGUAAUCUAACUCUGUGUGAACUGCUAUAUCUGUAAUCUGUUUCGAGAGUUUUCCCUAGUGUGUAAACUUGCGGGAUUUCUGAAGAUUCUCGAAUAUUGGCAAAGAGAAAAAUUUUGGGAUCUCGUAUCAGGGUGUUUGAUACUAUGCCUAGAGAUGUUAGAGACCAGUGUGCUGGGUUUAGGGCAAGACCUAGGUUUACUCCUGGUUUUAGAGGGUGCGAUGACUAACUCGACUUACGUAUCCCAUUUUAGAGGGUGUGAUGACUAAUUUGACUUACUAAUUCCUGGCUAAGUUUGUUUAGGACGUUGAGAGCUUGUUGUGAUCAGCAACAAACUUAAUGGUAAAAAAUACUGUUUCGAGUCUUCGCGAAGGAUAUGUUUUGAGAAGAUGUUAGUGCGUAUGGCUGUCUGGUCUUCCAGGAAAAUGUUUUUAUCGAGGAAGGAAAUUUCGUCGAAGAACGAAUCUUCAGGCGUCUGCGACGUCUCGCGAUGCUGAAGAUUUGUUAUUCUUUCGUAUACCGCGUUUCGUGCUUGAAAUGUUUGCGGGCUUGAAGAUGUUUCGCGAUGUUGCAAGGGUUUAGUCUUAGCCUACCGUUUGAGAAACGUUCUUGUUUGACUACGGAUGUUCGCAGCAAAAAGUUUAGAUUUUCUGUUAACCGUUUGAUUGUUAGGACUUAGUUUUGUUACGAAGAAUUUUACAUAUGCUUUCCGACUGGCUUAUACGAUAAUUUAUCAUAUCAUAUAACCGGUUUUACGAAGGUUGUAAAUCAGUGAUAUGUAUACAUAUGUCAAAGUAGUGUUGUUUCUGCGGAUUUUACGAGAAACGUUUCUGCUGUGAUUUUGAUCUUAGACGAAAGUUGCUUGGAGUUACUCAUGGAGUGUUACCGAAGUUUAUUUCAAUACGAUCUAGUCGCAGAACGUUCUUCAUAGGUUUUUUGAGAGGAUUCUCAUGACACAUUCGUUUCUUGAACGAUUUGGUCAACCAGAGGUGGAUCUAGCUAACCAUCGGGAGGAAAGUGCUCCUUUUAAUGUGUACGAUGCUACAUUUAUUCUCGAGUUUUCUUCGUCGCAAAUGUUUUCGAUGCUUUUCCGUGACUUGCUCGGUUCAACGGAAACUGAAAGAAAUGCUUUGGUGAUUUUCUUGUAGAAAUUUUUAAACGAAGCUGGCUUUCUAAAGCCAGAAAGGGCUUCAAUACUUUGGCUAAUCGUCGAGUUUCAGUUUGAUAUUGGUACAGGUUUUCUGUAUGCAUGAUUGCGACAAGAAAUGAUGUAUAGUCUUUAAGAUUUAUGUUCAUGAUCGUCUGGAUAUGUUGCUAGCGUUUAGACGAAUAUUAGAUUGUCGUUUGCCUAUUCUUGAUGAUUUGCAGAAGUUUUUUUGAAGUUUGGGAGUAUACGAGUAUAGUAUACGUACCUACUCCCCCCCCCCCCCUUUUUUUUUAAACGAAAGAAAACGGUUGAACCGAUACGUUGAAGGGUUGUGUAAGUUUCUUCUUCUGAGGUUUAGAAUGAUCGAUAAUUUGGGACGAUUUAUAGACGACGCUUGGACUGUGAUUUGGUUGUUUCCACGUUAACGACUUGGAAUAUGUUGGUUCCGAGAAAAUUACCAGAAACGAAUCGGUUUUAAGACGACAUUCAUGUCUCUAGUUUUUUCUCUCUUUAGGAAGCGAGCUUGAUAUGCAUGGCGAUCGUUUCUCGAUUUUCGGAGAGUUUAGAUCGGUUUGCAAGAUCUGAAUGAACAAUCAUUGAACAAUAUAUCGAGACAGGAAAAAUCGCUUAAGACUUUGUUCGUUAGACUAUCCCCCUAGGUUUUACGUUCCCUAAAGUUCUAUGGCAGCCUCAAAGUAAUUUCCUACAAAAAUUCCAAGUCUGAUUUCACAAAUUUCAAGUCGGAAGUACCUUAGUUCCUUCGAAGAUGCAGUUUUGUCUCUUCUCAGUUUUGCUUGCUCAUUUUCCUUUCCUCUUCUCGUGUAUGUUCGCCAUUUCCGAUAUUGGUAUUUAUCCUUUGAAACUUGACAUUUAUAUUCCGAACUUGACUGUUAUCUUCUCCUUAGAUACGACGUCAAUUUUUGUAAAAAGGUUCAACGUAAUCGUAUAGUUAAGGCGGCUAAGGUGUUAAGUUAACUGUUGUCGUUUUAUACGAUUAAUCUGAAUCCAUGCGAGAAAACAAGUCUUUGCGGGUUUUUUAUAUCAUAAAGUUUGAAUGGUAACUUCAAUCGAGGCGAAACAAGAGAUGUUCCGAUCGAGAUUCGAAAGUGAACGCAAAGAUGGAGGUAGGGCGAGCAGUAACAAGCCAAGGAGUUUAAGAUGAGUUUUACUUGUUUUCUUCGUAAAAUCUCAACGAAAACUCCGAUGGAGACAAAACGAAAAGCGUUUCGAUGAGGAUUCAAAGGAGAACGCAAAGGAGGACCCCUUUGAGGCCUGAUAGGUCGCUAUAGCGAGUGAGGAUGUCAUCUUGGUCGCUAUAGCAAGUGGAAGGGAGCCAAGACGAGUCCAACUUGUUUUCGUUGUAAGAUCUCAACGGAAACUCUGAUUGAGACGAAACGAAAAGCGUUUCGAUGAAGAUUCAAAGGAGAACGCAAAGGAGGACCCACAGCUUCUUCAAAAUUUUAAGUGUUGAAGUUUUCCUCCCUAGUUGUGUCUAGAGCCAUCUGAUAAAUCAAAUUGGUGCUUCUGAAGAAGGUACCUAGCAGUUGUACCUUGUUAAACCCAUGGUGUGGACAGUCUCUAUGAUAUGACUUGAAUCAUAUCAAGAGCUCUUGAAAGACUCUAUAGGCUCUUGAGUGAAAGUAUCAAUCUUGUUAUUCCAGUAUUCGGGUCGUGCAUUAUCAAAAAUAUUAUGCAGGAAGGCGUUUGUUAUGGCUGUCUAGGAUGUAAGAGAUCUUGGUGGUAACUGCUUAAGCCAAUAGGAAGCAUAUCUAGCAAGUAAGUACUUGAAGAAAUUGCAAAGAAGGUAGUCAUCAGGGACUCCAUUGACUUUGAUAGCAGAUACUAAAUCCUUGAACCGUUCCAGAUGAUCCAUAUAAUGCUCUCAUGUGGGAGUCCAUGAUAAGGAUGCUGUCCCAUGAGUGCAAGGUAAGCAGGCUUCAGCUUGAAAUUGUGCCUUUGGAAAGUAGGAGAACGAAUUGCAGACAUGUUGGCUAGUAGUGAUUUGGACGGUUGUAAUCAGCCAACAUUCUGGAUGGAGCGGCCUGGACAUUCUCAGCAACUGCAGCCGGAGCGAUGGCUGCAUCUCAGCAUCAGGAUCUUCUAAAGAAGCUUCUUUUGAAUCAGGGAUUACACCCCGUAAUCAUCUAGUCUUUGACCUGCUGCAUUAGCAAAUGACACUCAUAGCAAUGCAGGUCUCCAUUCGCAUUAUGUAUCAGUACAAGAGUCACGGCCAUGUCACUUGCUUGCGGGUAGGUGCCAUUCGGUGUUAGAGUAGUGGAUGUCGUUGCUUGCUCACAAGUGGUGUCAAUCGAUGAAGAAGAGUUGUGGAUCGAUGUUGGUUGCUUCUCUGUGACACCCGGUUUUCUCGAAAUAAUAUAAAUGCAAAAAUAGCAUAAUAAUAAAUACUGAAAUAAUAAUAAUAAACUCUAGAUAAUAUAUCGGAUCAAAUACAAUAUCAUAAAGUUCAAACCGCAAAUACCGCUAUCAUCAUAAAUCCAAAAUAAACGACAACAUAAAUCCGAAAUUUUGAAAUAGGAAUAACAUAAACGAAAAAAGUCCAAAGGCCUAAAAGCCCGAUAACGGUAAAAGCGAUAAAAGCGAUAGAAGCCCAAAAGCCCAAUAGCACCAGUCCGAUAAUAACUCCUGCUCAUCGGUCAGAGUGAGGGGUGAGCGACAGGGUAAUCACCCAAUGAGGUAUGAGAUGCUACCCUAAAGUCCAUGGACCCGGACAUAGCAAUCCAAAUAAAUAUAAUUUAAUUCUAAUACAUGUCAAACACGGCACCUAAAGUACCCAAACAACAAAAAAUGGUUCCAGCGAGGCGCGCACUCGCUGCCCACUAAAAGGCCAAAAACAUAACACAGCUCGAGAUAGUGCUCGGACACCGCCCAUGGACGAUUUAUCGACCCUUCCAGGCUACAGCUCAACCGGUCGACUAUAGUUGGCCAUAACCUCAUACGAUCCGGCAUACAUAAGUCCGUCUCUGUAUCCGUCUCCACACAAAAACAAUCCUAGCUAAGCAUUUACAUUAAGUGAAACAAUCCAUGUUGAAUCCUCUAACCACCUAAUUCCGAUUUAAGCAAAGAACCUAAUAACUAAAUAAGCAAUGACAGACUCGAUUUCAAGCAGAUAGAACAUAUUAGAAAUAAGUUAUACUUAUUCGAGGUCCUAAGCCGUAUACGAGAAGUUCGGGAAUAGACCCUCACCUGAGCAGUAGGGAAAUGUGGUAUCUAUGAACUCCAGCUGCUCAAAUAGACUCUAAAUCUGAAAUCAGGGCGAAAUUCUGAGUCAGAACGGCUUUCGAACGGUUUAAAACGGGUCUGGUUAAAGUUUACCAAAAAGUCAAUCCGCAGGUCAAAGGUCAACCUGGUCAACUCUGACCCAAGCCGGUCAACCCUUAACCAAAUUGAAAUCAAAUUGAACCGACCGGUUUAACUCAGCCGAUUUUGAUUUUUAAUUGAACCAGAUCCUAAUUAAUUGCAAACCGGUUUACUUCUAUCCAAAAUCAAUUUCCAAUAACCAACCGGUUUAACCUAACCAACCCAAAAUCGAUUUAAACCAGUCAAACCACCAGUUGACUGAGUCACCGAGUUGUCUCAUCGGACUCGGCCUAGUUACCGGCAAGUCACCGGCGACGAUCACCGGUGGUGACGGCGGCGACGGCGGAGGGUGGCAGCGGCGACGGCGGAGGGUGGCGGCGGUUUACCGGGAAAUCGCCGACGGCAGCGGAGAAGCGGCGAUACAGUGGUAGCUUCUCGGCGGCAGACGGACGGUGGCCGGGCACGACGGCUCCGGGGAACGAUGGUCGGAGACGGUGGCGAGUGGCCGGAAUGCGUGGCGGCUCCGGCGGACUCUGAUCGUGGCGCAACUUCGGGAUGCUCUAGCGGCUUCGUCCGGGCUCCGAUCACGGUGUGGUUGGUGUCUAUGGCUUCGUCUCGACAAGAGGAACACAAUGGUGGUCUUGCAUGCAGCUGAAGCUAAACGGAAGUUAUGAAGCUAAUGGUUAGGAAGUUAUGGGCGAUUUACUAAACAGACCCGAAACUGAAGCUAAUGCAUGUGGUUUCCGGUGUUACCUUGGGCGGUUAACGGUGGUGGCGUGCUCGACACAGUCACGGCGUGAGAAGGCUCCGACGAACCCAGUGGUGGCUCAGGUUCUGUAACAAUUCCUCAUUUCUCCCAUUAACUUCUUCUCUCUAAACUUUUUUUGAUGAUUUUUGGUGAAGAAAACAAAGUAGAGUGCUGAGUUUUUAUAGAAAAUAUCAUGGGCUUCUGGGGAUGGGUUUGGGCCUCGAUCUGAAUUUAUUGGACCAGAAUGUGGAUCAUUAUAUUCUCCUUACGCAUGGCACGCUCAAGCUUAACAAGAUCUAAAGCUGAAAAAUAGGAAAUAACCUAAAUAGAAUAUAGUGAGAACACAUUUUUCAUAACAGUUAAAUGAAUUAAGUAAACCCAUCUUAAAUAUUUAACAAAAUAACUUCUUUUCACUUUCUACUUAAUUAUUUUUCAAACUCCUCAUCCAAGAAGUUCUUCUAGAAAACAUUUUAGGGUAAUUAUUGAAUUAACCGAUUAGUAAGUUUAUAGGAUUUCAUUUUCCCCCAAAAUCAUCAGUUAUAUUGUAUUUAACAUUAACAGAAAUAAUUUGAAAUCCAAAGUUAUUGAGUUCAUAAUUUGUAUUAGUUCUUCAAAAUUCUAACUUAUUGGAAAUAUAGAUUUAGUCAUUAAGAUCUAUCAAAUAAGAAUUGGUGGAAUUAUAAAAAUAACUUAUAUGGUUAAAAGUUAAUGAAUAAAAAUAUCACUUCCUAUGAUGAUGUUAUUUGAAAUUUCUUACAAAAUAAAUUCUUCUUUAUUUUUCACUUUUACAUAAAAAUAAAAAAAUGAAAUCAGAUAAAUAAAGUUUAUUUGAAAUAUUAUUUUGUAUAUUUAUAUAUUUUAUAUAAAUUAAUAAGUAAUAAAAAUAAAAUUUUAAAGAAUAUUAAUUUUCAUUAAAAUAAAAUUCAAAGGUUUAAAUAUUUUUUUAAAUAUUAUAAAAUUGAUUUAAAUCUUUUUAAAGAAACUGUAAUAAUUUUUCAACAUUUUAUCUUAAUUUUAGAUUUUCUGGAACUUAGUAGGUGUUCAAAUUCUAUAAAGUUCCAAAUCCAAUGUUGUGAUAAAUUCUGCCUCUUUUUUCUUUUAAUUAAAAAAUUAAAUUAUUUUUAUUGAAUUUUGUUAUUUGGCUUUUCUCAUCCGCUGCUCCUCUUUAUCUUUAAAUAGAGAUCAUGCAGACUGACAUUUUAUUCAUCAUUUGUUUUUCGACAAAGAGAGUGUUAUAACUUAAAUUCGGUUAAAGAAAAUGGCUUCAAAGACUUUGAUUAUGCUGGGUGUCUUUGCAAUUCUUCUCGUUGUGUCAGAAAUGGCCGCAGCAUCUGCACAGAAGUCGGGUACGUAAAAUUAUUAUUCUAUAUAAAAAUAAAAGUAGUUCCAAAGGCUGUGGUGCUAAAGUACUAUUUCAUAAUUUCAUCAUACCAUUUCGUCCGUUUUAAGUCCAGAAAGUUUGUUUGAAUAAAUGCUGGUUAAUUAUUUGGACUUGCCUAAGUCAAAACACAUUUAAGUAUGAUGUUGUUAUCUACCCCUCCGUUUUUUUAAUAUAAGUCGUUUUAGAAAUUUUUAUGUUCCAAAUAUAUGAAUUUUUCGAUUUUCUAUGUAAAAUUUAUUAAAACUUAGUUUUAUAUGACUAAUGAUAAUAUACUUUCUAUUUUAUUAUUGACUGAUUCGUGGUUAGGUAAAUAAUUAAUGAUGUUUUUUUUAAGAAAAUAUAAAAAACAAUAUUUUUUUAAUCUGUAUGCAUAAUUUUAAAACGACUUAUAUUAAAAAGUGAGGGAAUAUUUGUCUAGUAAGAAAAACGAUAUGUGUAGCUAUGCGGUGUGAAUAUCUAACUCCUCCGUAGAGGAACCGGGUUUGUCUUUCCCUGGUAGGCUCUCCAGGAGAUUAGCCCAGUUUUAUUAAAAAAGAAAAAAAGAAGACGAUAUGUAUGAUAUUGAAACCUUUUAUACGUAUCAGGCCAACUCAAACCAUUUAGAUGUUCGGUGCAAAUUUUAUAUUGAAGGUAUAUAAUGAUGCGAUUUAUCUUUUUUGACCGAGAUCCGAAAUUAUAUAUAUUUGAAUAGUUUUAAGCGAAAUUUAUUUCAAAAAUCGGGGAGUGGAAUGCACAUAUGCACGUGCUAAAAGAUAUCUUUGAAAUAAUAUUGAGGUGCUUUGUUUUGGAUAUGUACGGUGAAAACAGAGAGUGAGGAAACUGUGCAACCUGAUCGAUAUGGUGGUGGCCAUGGCGGAAAUGAAGGUUACAACGGACGAGGAGGAUAUAACAGAGGAGGACACAACGGAGGUGGAGGAUACAAGGGAGGUGGAGGAUAUAACGGGCGAGGAGGAUACAACGGCGGUGGAGGAUACAACGGAGGAAGAGGUGGCCACGGGGGACACGUAGGAAGAGGAGGCCACGGCGGACACGGUCCAGAAGCUGUUCAGACUCAGCCUGGCAACUAAAUCUAUAAAUACUUUAACAACCAUGGAUGAUUUCAUCUAUGUAUACACACAGUCCUGUAUACACCUGUGACAUGUAUGUGUAUGACUAUAAUUAAAACCAUGGUGAGUUUGUAAAAGUUACUUCAGUCAAAUAAAAGAAAUUAGGUGAAUAAAGUUUCGUAAUGUAAUGUAUCUAUGUUCGAGUUGUAAUAUGUACUCUUUGCAAAAAUAAAAUCGUUUGUAGUUUAUGUUGGGAAUUUUUUACCAAAAAAUAUAUAAAAUGGCUGAAAAAAAUUCUUGUUUGGAGACUUUCCUCUUUUAUUUAUUUAAAUUACUUUCCUCUACAAGUAUCAGAGGUGGUGUUUGCAACUGACUGCUCUCAAUUGGUGAAUAUGGUGUCUACACCGACAGAAUGGCCAGCAUUCACUACACAUAUGGAGGAGUUUCUGCGAUGUAAGGAAUUCUUUCUCAACUUUUCAAUCCAACAUAUUCCAAGGGCGCAAAAUACACUGGCGGACAGGCUGGCACGAGGUGCUAGGACUUCGCCAUCUACUAUGGUUUAUGUUGAUUCAGUUCCCCCGAGGUGUCUCUCGGAUCAGGGAUCCUUCUAGUUUCUUAGCCUUUUGUUGUAAAAAAAAAAAAAGAAUAACAAAAACAAUUUGACACUACCUUUCUAACUAAUUAUUAACCGAACCACAAACAAUUAGAUCCAGACUACCAAUCUAAUCAAGAUCCAUUUAUGGAGAUGAUUGUUUGUUUGGUUUCAAGAUUUUUAAUUUUUGAUUUUUGUUUUUAGUUGUUGGUUUUUUUAUUUUAGAUUUGGAUUUUUUUUUUAAUUUUGCAUUAUAUUUUAAAUUUUUGAAAACCAUGAAUUAUGAUUUUAUAUUUUGGUUAAUUUUUGUUUUUGAUUUUUGCUUAUAAAAUAAUGAAAUGAAAAUAUUAUCAAUAGUAAAAUAUUUAUUGUGAUAUAAUAAAAUAUAAUAUCAUUACCAAAACACACAUAAGACUAUUUAGAAAACAGCAAAAACAAAUAUAAUUUUAUGUUUAAACGUAAACUUAAAAUUUUAAUUAUAUGUUUAAAUAUAAGUUAUAUAUACUUUGUUUUAUAAUUUUACUAUAUAUUAUUAAUUUUUUUUUUUUGAAGUUCAAAUAGAAAUUUAAUAAAAAAAUAUUACAUACUAUGAAAACAACAAAUAAUACAAAAUAUUACCACUUAAAAUACAUUUAUUUAUUUAAUAAAUUUAUUUUAAAACAGAAAAUAAUGCAAACUAAAUAGAUGAACCAUAAUUCAUAUACAUAUAUAUAUAUACAUGUAUAUGACAAUACAUAAUGAAAUAUCAGUUUUCUGUCGAGUGCAGUCUGGUUACCCAGAGUUUCUUCACACCCGAUAAUCUAGCUCUAAGGAGUUUUUCCUAAAAGGUUUUUAUGAUAGUAUUGAUUUGGAAUUGUAGAGGUGCGGGAAGUCACUGGACAAUUAGUUAUUUACGGGAAAUAUGGCAUAAACAUAGACCAGAUUUUUUGUUUCUCUCUGAGACAAAACAAGAUUUAGUUUACCUUCAGGGUCUUCAGUCUCAUUUUGAUUAUGAUAAUUUAGUUACAGUGGACCCGGUUGGUGCGAGUGGAGGUUUGGCGUUGUUUUACAAUAAUGAAUACCAGGUUGAUAUUCUAUAUACUAGUAAUCGUAUGAUUGAUGUUGAAACUUUGACCCUUGGAAAAAAAGUUUAUAUGACCUUUGUUUAUGGAGAGCCGGUUCAACAGUUAUAGGAUCAAGUUUGGGAACGGUUAACAAGGUAUGGCCUAGCAAGGUCAGAGCCGUGGUUUAUUAUUGGAGAUUUGAAUGAGAUAACUGGAAAUCAUGAAAAAGAUGGGGGGGGGGGGACAUACGAAGUGCAGGAUCUUUUGUACCGUUUAAUGACAUGAUUAGGAAUACUGGACUUUUGGAGUUCCCAGUCCGAGGAAAUUAGAUGUCCUGGCAAGGAAGAAGGAAACAAGGAAAAAAGAAAAAAGUUAUGGUUCGGUGCCGGUUGGAUCGAGCUUUAGCAAACGAAGAUUGGCAUACACUUUUUCCAUGCUCUUACACAGAAUAUUUGAGAAUGGUGGGGUCCGAUCAUCGACCGGUGAUGGCUUUUCUGGACAAUAAAAUAACAAGACGGAAGGGACAAUUUCGGUUUGACAAGAGAUGGAUUGGACAAGAAGGCUUAUUGGACUCGAUUGCAAGAGGGUGGGGUGAAUUCUCAGAGGCGAAUCCGGGGGAUUUCGUUUCAAAAAUCACAAACUGCCGUCAUGAGAUCUCUACAUGGCGGAAGAAUAAUCCACCUUGUGGGAAAGAGAAAAUUGGAGAACUCCAGAAAGCAGUUGAAGAAGUCCAAAUGGAUAAUACUAGAACCCAAGAAGAUAUUCUAGAGGUCUCAAGGAAGUUACAGGAAGCUUACAAGGAUGAUGAAGAGUACUGGCAACAGAAGAGUCGUAAUAUAUGGCACACUUCGGGGGAUCUCAAUACAAAAUUCUAUCAUGCUCUAACAAAACAACGUCGUGCUCGUAAUAGAAUUGUGGGUCUAUAUGAUUCUGUUGGAAACUGGAUAAUUGAGGACCAGGGGGUAGAAAAGGUGGCAGUGGAUUAUUUUGAAGAUCUGUUUCAGACAACAACUCCUACUGGUUUUGAUGUUUUUUUAGAUGAGAUUACACCCUCAAUUACACCACAAAUGAAUCAACGGCUUGUUCGGUUGGCAACUGAGGAGGAAGUUCGACAGGCUUUAUUCAUGAUGGAAUGACGGCUCUCUUUUUUCAACACUCAUGGCAUAUAAUAACAAAUGAUCUAUUGGAAAUGGUCAAUAGUUUUUUGGCAUCGGGAAAUUUGGACACAAGGUUAAACACUACAAAUAUUUUUCUGAUUCCUAAAAAGGAGAGACCCACAAGGAUGACUGAACUCAGACCUAUCAGCUUAUGUAAUGUAGGAUACAAGAUUAUAUCUAAGGUAUUAUGUCAAAGAUUAAAGGUCUGUCUUCCAUCACUGAUCUCGGAGACACAAUCGGCUUUUGUGCCUGGACGAUUAAUAUCAGAUAAUAUUCUUAUAGCUCAGGAGAUGUUCCAUGGUUUGCGAACUAAUAAAUCGUGUCAGGACAAAUUUUUGGCAAUAAAAAUGGAUAUGAGCAAAGCUAAUGACAGAGUUGAAUGGAUCUUUAUCCAAGAACUACUAACCAAGAUGGGAUUCGGCCAGCAUUGGAUCCAAUUAAUGAUGGAAUGCAUUUCCUCGGUUCAGUAUAAGGUUUUAUUGAAUGGACAACCAAAAGGACAUAUAAUACCACAGAGGGGAUUACGUCAGGGGGACCCUCUAUCCCCUUAUCUGUUUAUUAUGUGUACGGAAGCAUUGGUCGCAAAUAUUAAAAAAGGCAGAACGAAAUAAGCAACUAACGGGUCUAAAGGUUGCUAGGGCCUGCCCCCCAAUUUCCCAUUUAUUAUUUGCAGACGAUAGCCUUUUCUUUUGCAAAGCUAAGAAGGAAGAAUGUCAGACAAUUCUUAGGAUUCUCAAGGAAUAUGAAGGGGCUUCAGGACAACAAAUAAAUUUUGAAAAAUCUUCGAUUCAAUUUGGACACAAGAUUGCAGAAGCUACACGACAGAAAGUUCGAGAUAUCUUAGGUAUACAUAAUUUAGGAGGAACGGGGUCUUAUUUGGGCAUCCCAGAAAAUAUGGGAGGAUCAAAGGUGCAAGUUUUUGGAUUUGUUCAGGAGCGUCUAAAUAGCAGAGUAAAUGGUUGGACUUUUAUGUUUUUCACCAGAGGGGGUAAGGAAGUGAUUAUAAAAUCUGUGGUUACAGCCUUGCCAAACAAUGUAAUGUCAUGCUUUCGAAUUCAAAAAGGGUAAUCAAGAAAUUAGUUAGUGCUGUAGCACAAUUCUGGUGGAGUCCAGGGGGUAACAAGAGAGGUAUGCAUUGGAAAUCAUGGGACAAACUGUGUAGCUCUAAGGACGAUGGAGGUUUGGGAUUCAAAGAUCUCACAGAUUUUAAUACAGCUAUGCUUGGGAAACAAUUUUGGAGAUCAAUGGACAAACCGAAUACUUUAUUUUCACGUGUAUUCAAAGGGAGAUAUUUCAGGAAUGCUUCACCCCUGGAACCCAUUAGAUCAUACUCGUCAUCUUAUGGUUGGCGUAGUAUUGUCUCUGCUAGAUCUCUGGUUAGCAAAGGACUAAUCAAAAGGGUGGGAACAUGAUCAUCUAUAUCAGUAUGGAAUGACCCUUGGCUUCCAUCCACUCGCCCGAGACCAGCAAAUAAAAAUCAACACAAUCUUUACCCGGACCUAACAGUGGAUGCUCUUAUCGAUGGAACAUCACGAUCAUCGAACCUACAGGUUAUUCGGGCUCUGGUGGAUCCGCAAGAUGUGAAAAUUAUUCAAAGUAUUCCUAUCAGUAGAUCUCAUCUAGAAGACCGGAAUGGAUGGCAUUUUACAAACAAUGGAAAAUACAUGGUUAAAUCUGGAUAUGAAGUGGAACGAGUAUAUCCGGAUAGAGAAAUAAUGCCACCCCAGUUUGGCCCUUCGAUAACACCUUUGAAGGCGUUCUGUUGGAAGUUACGCUGCCCACCCAAGUUGAAACAUUUUUUAUGGCAACUAUUGACGGGAUGUAUAGUGGUUAAGAAAAAUUUGAGGUCAAGAGGAAUGCAAGGAGAUACUGUUUGUGACCGAUGUGGUGCUCCCGAGGAAUCAGCUAAUCACGUGUUUUUUGAAUGUCCACCGGCGGUUCAGGUCUGGGCACUUUCACGGAUCCCGAUGAAUCCAAAUAUUUUUUCCACUCAAUCUUUGUUUACCAAUAUGGAUCAUUUAUUUUGGAGAAUUUCACCUGAAAUGGAAGAUCAUUCAUUUGCUUGGAUUCUCUGGUAUAUAUGGAAAGGUAGAAACAACAAAGUUUUUAGCAAUUUGGAUAUGGACCCGAGAGAUACUCUCAAACUGGCAGAAACGGAAUCGUUACUUUGGGUGGAAGCACAAAAUUCUCAGACUCAACACAUGGAACACACCCAAAUUCAUGUAUCUUCGAUAAUAACGAGUAUACCAGGUAGAUGGUGUUUUACAGACGGAUCUUGGAAAAAUGAGGACAGCUUUUCAGGGCAAGGAUGGUAUAGUACCCUGGAAGGCUACGAUGGACUAAUGGGAGCAAGGAACACGAGAGCGAGUCAGUCGCCACUACACUCAGAGAUAGAGGCCCUUAUAUGGGCAAUGGAAUGUAUGAGGAAUCUUAGACAAGCAUGGGUUACUUUUGCAACGGAUAGUGCUCAAUUGGUGAAGUUGGUGUCGGAACCAGAAGAGUGGCCAGCCUUUGCAAGCUAUUUGGAAGACAUAAAAGUUUUUAAGAGGAGUUUUAACAGCUCAGAGAUCAUUCAUAUACCACGGACACAGAACUCAAAGGCGGACAGUCUCGCACGCAGUGCAAGAAAGCAACCGUCGUUUGUCGUCCAUAUGGAUGCAGAGUUACCGGGGUGGUUCGCAGAGUCUACAUGAGUCUGCUUUGUUUGCUGACAAAAAAAAAAUGACAAUACAUAGUUAAUGUAGAUCAAAAAUGGCAAUACAUAAUUUUUAAAAAAUAUAAAAAAUUAUAUACCAAAAAUAUUCUAUGUGAGAUUGGCAAGUGACUGAGUGGAUCUGGACUGGGCCUGUCGUUGAAAACUGGGCCUGGACGUCAAUAAUAAAGAAGAGCGAUAAAGAUUAUGCUCGGCCUCUGGUGAAAGAGUGAAACCCAAGAGCUAAAAUUACAUGUGCAUAUAAAAGGAGAAGGAUGAGAAGCAGAGGAUAACACCUCAUAACAACCUAACAGCCUCGUCUUCUUCUCAUGUUAUCCAGGUACCGAAGCAGAUGAUUCUGCCAUUGUUGUAAAGAAUCUCGUGUAACACUCCAAAGAGAUAAUGAAUUCCAGGUACCGAAGCAGAUGAGUCUGCCAUUGUUGUAAAGAAUCUCGUGUAACACUCCAAAAUCUGGGGAACUCUAAAACUUUGCGUGUGUUCUUGUCAAUUGUUUUCUUUCGUGUUGCGUUCUGGGUUUUCGAGUGUGGGAGUGGAGUCGCGAUCUUCAAACAACGAGAGACGUGAGAGAUCGAUAGAAUCAAAGCGUUCGAUAGUCAAGAGAGAUCAUUGAGAUACAAUACAAGUGUGUAUCAGAUUAUUCUACAAGUGGUAUCAGAGCUUGGCUAGAGCAUUCAAAGGAUUCAGAAGACAUGAUCGAGGUCCGGAUUCAGAAGAAAGAUCUGGUUCUACGAGAAGUAAAGAUUGAGGAGCACCAAUCAACGAGAAGAGGUUAAUCGGGAUUAUAAAGAAGUUCAAUUCUACUCUUAUACUAAAUCGAUCUGAUCUUGAAUCUUUGGUUGUGCGUCUAGUUGCUGUGGGAUUGUUUUCUUGGUUAUCUGCAAGUGACAAGAAGCGAGGAAUCACACAUCAAAGAGGAUGGAUCCGACGCCAGGGAGGUUCGAGAUCGAGAAAUUCGAUAGGAACGGUGACUUUGGACUUUGGAAAUUUAAGAUGAUGACACAGUUAGAGAUUCAAGGCCUGGUAUCAGUACUUCAGAAAGAAACCACUUUUGAAUUUGAUAUAGCAAAGCUAGAGGAAGGUGUCGAAGUAAAGAAAUACCUAAAGAAGGCAGAAAGAUAUCUAAGAGUUAGGAGUUUAUUCAUCACUUGUCUCAGUGAUUUGAUCUUGAUGAAGAUAAUGAAUGAGACUACAGCUCUUAGAAUGGGGAAAGAAUUUGAGAGAGACUACCAAACAAAGUCUUUGCCAAACUGAAUAUAUCUCAAGAAGAAGUUUUCUUGCUUCAGGAUGGAAGAAAAUAAACCAAUGGAAGAGAACUUUGACUCUUUCCUAAAGCUUCUAGCUGAUUUGGCAAGUAUCAAGAUCGACAUCUCAGACGAGGAUCAAGCCAUUCAACUACUCUCUGGGCUGACUACAGCCUGUGAGCCAUUGGUACAUACCAUACAAUAUGGAACCGGAAAGACAUGCUGACAGUCAACAAAGUCAUCACUAUGGCAUACUCAAAAGAGGCAGAGAUAAAGCAGAAGGGGUUGACAACAAGAGGCAUACACUCAAAGGGUCUUUACAGUGAGUCAAGGGGAAGAACAUCGACCAGAAAUGACUCAGGAAAUAACAAGCAAUGGAACAACAAACCAAAGAGCAGAUUCAGGUCAAUAGGAAAGUAGAAUGUAAAACAAGAUAAAACUUGUCGGAUAUGUGGAAGCGAUGGACACUGGAAACGAGACUGUCCAGAACACAAAAAACAUCUCACUCCUCAAAUUUAGAAAACUCAGCAAACGUGGCAAAGAAUUUUCCAGGGCUAAUAGCCUUGACAGACAGUCUGAUGGUAUCAAAUGAAGAGUGGGUGUUGGAAUCAGGUUGCACUUUUCAUAUCACGCAACAAAGGGAUCUUCUAUCAGAGUUUGUGGAAUAUGACGGGAAUAAAGUGAUGAUGGGUCACAACUCAUUCUGCAUAGUUUGAGGAAUGGGAAAAAUAACCAUAGACAACAAAGAUGGAUCAUCGGUCACAUUGAGUGAAGUUCGUUACAUCCCAGAUGUUGGACCCAAUUUUGGGUAAUACCUUAACGGGCCACGAUCAAAGUGAUGGGCCGUAAGGAACCAAAGCCCGUAGCAAGCAACCGAGCUCAAAAGCAAAGAAGUCGAGGCCCCAGAGAUCGCGGAGCGGUUACGAAGAUCGCGGAGCAGUUACAAAGGUCGCAGAACAGCUACAGAGAUCACGAAGUCGACUCGCUAUAAAGAAACGAGAAGGGACAUGAAGAAGAACACGUUGAAAACCCUAGAGAGAGCUACACACAUACAUCGACUUUGUUUUCUCCUGUUCUUAGAUCCUUUUCUUUAACGAUCUCACUUGUGUAAUUCAAUCUAGUUCAACUUAUUGUAUUCGGUCCAAUUCAUCAAUAAAGUCCAUUUUUGCCUACUGGAAACUAUUAACAUCGUUGUUUUCUAAAGAUAUUGUUGCCUACAUCUUUUGUCUUCCCUAGAUCAAACUCCCGAUCACUAUCAAAUACUUAGUGUAGAUUUUAGGUUCUACAUUUUGGCGCCGACUGUGGGAAAGAUAAAUGAAAAACAUCUUUGCUAAGAAACCGAUCUAAGUUUCCUAAGCGCGACUAUGGAUCCCAACCAAACCACCCGAACCAUGAUAUAUGGUGUUUUUUGUACCAUUAUAUGUGUGCUUUGAGCUAAUUCUCAGUCCUAAUUCGUGUUUAACUGAUAUCAUUCCAGGUUUGGAGCAGGUGAAAGAGUAAAGAAGAGAGAUUCUGGAAGUCAGAUGCCGUUUUGAAGGAUUCGAUGCGGAACAGUCAUCUAGAACAACCCGAAGGUUGUUCCCGAAGAGAACAAACGUUUGACUGUUCCCGAUCGUUAAGGAAACUUUCAAUUCUGGAAGUUUGCCCUAGAUUCCACUCUCUCUUAUCUCUUUACCACCAGCGCCUCCAUAUAAAAAGGCCUAUGCUAUCAUUUCUUUUUCGGACGCUAGUUUUUGCAAGAGACCUAUAACUAUUUUCUUUGGAUUAAGCAACUUGUAAGGGAGAAGGCUUCAUCUCUCAUUCUCACGAGAAGAUCAUCCUGAAACCUUUUCUUUCUACUUUAUUUUAUAUGCAGUAUUAUUCAGAAACCAUGUUUGUGUCAUCCUGCUUUAUAAUUGAGUAGUAGGCUAAGCUUGCUUAGGGUUGUAGGGUGUUAGCCGCAUGAACUGAACACAAAUAAGUGAUCUUAACUGUUCUUCAUUCAUAUUGUUCUUACUGCUUACAUUGAAUUGAUCACUUAAUGUUCGAUCUCUGAUUUAAUCACCUAGCUAACCGCUUAGGAGAUAAAUUGACAUAUAUUGAAUGAGCUUUGUAUCCCUAAUCAGCGAGAGUAGAUAUUAGGGUAUUACGUGAACUAAUCAGAUCUUGUCUCUAAGGCUUGUUAUCGUGUCUUGUUCCAAGUGAGAACUUAGGAUUCAAGACCGAUAUGCAAAGGGAGCAAGACCACGAUAGUGGAUUGUUCUAGCCGAGUGAUCUGAGUUCUAGACUGCACUUCAUUGCACUUGAAUAAUUGUUCAGUUCUGCAUUGACAUCCGAUUAAUAACCCUAAGCCGGCUUCAUUUAAAUCAAAUUUGAACCAUCUAGGUAUUCGAGUUACUUGCGUCACAAUUAAUUUCCAAAACCCCACUUGUUUCUCAGCUUAUUAUUGAACUCGUAAUAGUAAAGAGUAAACUGCUCCUCAGGAUUGAAUCUCAAAUAUUACAAUUACCACUGUUAACUUGACAGUAGCAAGGAUUCAUUUUUAGUGUACCAAGUUUUGGCGCCGUUGCGACGGGGACUAAGCUUUACCUUUCUUUUUCGGUUUAUUAUUUAGUCUGAGAUCAUCAAAAACAGACUUUUCUCACCAUUAAAAGUGUCCAGAUCAUCAAAAAAAAAUUAAAACUAAUAUUUGAUUCCUAGGUCUGAAUGUGACGCAGAGAAAAAGCAGAACAAAAGCGGGAGAAAAUGUUAUGUAGUCCAAUCUGCAAUUAGUACUCAUUCACGAUUUUAAAAGGAGGACAAGAAAAAAUAAUAAAAUAAUUAUGGACUGUAUGCAGAACAUUUUAAUACGAAUCCUGCAUGUACAAGGGAAAAACUAGCGGUGGUGAUGCAGGUGACCAAUCCCUGUUUUCACUUUUUUUUUUUAAUUAGUUAAAUAUUUGUUUUGUCUACAAUUAAUUAACUACUUAUUAUGUUUUUUCAAACUAAAGAUUCUCAAAUAUGGUUUAAUAGUUUAUCUUUUCACUUUGUAAAGAUAUAUUAUAUACUAUAAUAUUUUCAUAUACAAUUAUUUAUAUUCUCAUUACAUAUUCAUAGUUUUUAUAUAAUAACUAUUUAUGCUGUUAUUUUUUUUGUAUAAUAGAAAAUAUAUAACUUCACUAAUUAAUCAUAUAUAGUGUUUUGAAAAAUAUAAAACAUAUAUCUUAUAAUUAUUUUUAUUUCUAUUUUUGAUAAUUAAUAAAUAAAUGAAUUAAUAGUUGUGUAUAAAAACUAAAUCAGUAAAUGAAUUCAUGCAUUUUAUUGAUAAUUCAUAUAUUGAUUACAUAUAUUGGAAAACUUGUAACAACUAAAACUAAAACUAGAAAUUUAAUGAAUGCAUGCACAAUGAAAAAUAUCAAACAUAUUUUUUUCUCUUACAUAUUAUUUUUGUUCGUUAAAGAUAACGUUUAUUAGUAUUUUCACAUAUACUAAGAAAACAUACUAAAUCAAUAAAAUAAAUCAGACUAUAGUAAAUAAUAUAUAUUUAUUUGGUAUAUUCAUAAUUUUCUUAUAAUUUAGUUUCUGUAUGUUAUACCUGAUUUUAUUACUUAUAUAUAGUAAGUUGUAUUUUGUUUAGAUAUUUUUUGCUCCUACAUUUAUUCAGAUCAUUUUUUCAGAUAUUUUUUAGAUUUUUCACCUGUUUGGGACAGUUUAUAACACUUUCGGUUCGGAUAUGUUUUAUAACACCCUACGAAACCCAUUCAUGUAUUUUUUUACAUUUUGGACUUGAUACAAGUCAUUUUUUCGGUUCGGGUUUGGAACGAAAUUCAGGUUAAAAAUUUUAUGUCCAGCCCUAAUUAACGUCUUUAGAUCAUAGUUAGAUUUUAAUUUGGACUAUAAAAAUAAUUAAAAGGAAAUGGAAUACUCUUUGUCAUUUUAAUGAAUUUUAUCUAUUUUUUAAGUUUCAAUAUAUUUAUUAGAAUCAUAAUACUUUUUUUUGUUUUCGGUUUUUUUUUGUAAUUGUGUUCACAUUUUAUAUAAUGUUUAAAUUUUAUUUAUAUUUAUUAAAUUAAUCAAAAUAAUAAUUCAUAAGAAUUUGUAUUUUUGUUUUAGAUAUUUAAUUUACAAAAUUAUUUUUAACAUUUGGUUAAAUACACUAAUUCGAUAAAUUAGCUUAACGAGUUAGAUCUGUAUUUGUUCUGCAUGAUCUGCUUGAUCUGCGUUUGUUCUGCUUGAUCUGCAUUUGUUCUGCUUGAUCUGCGUUUUGGGUUUGAUCUGCAUUUUCUUGAUCUGCAUACCAUUCGAACCUGGAAGGAAUUCUGAUGCUGACUUAUUGGGAAACAGGCCUUGUAACAGAUGGUUUACCGGUAUAACUUUGAUGAUUUAAAUGUAGCGUUCCAAAAAAUCGUUUGUGUAACAAUUUAGUUUUAUAUUCUUUAGUUUACUUGUGUUUCAAAAAAAAAAAAUUUUAGUUUUCUUGUAAUUAUAUUUAAAAGUAAUAAUAAUGAUAAUAUUAAAAAAUUUAUAAAUAAAAUAAAUCGUCAAUAUUAGUUUAUAUAAACUCUAGAUUCACAACUUCACAUGUUUUUCAUUAAGAAAAAAUAUAUAUAAUAACCCGAUCGUUAAAUCAUAACUUAAAAAUAAAAGCAAAUAGGGUUUUCUCUUUGGCGACUCCAAGGGCAACUCCAUGGCGGCUUGAUCAGAUCCUCUUAGGGAUUUGAUCCAUUGACAGAUCUGUUGUUCUUUGACAAUAAAUUACCUCUCAGUCAUCCUUUACCUGACGAGAGCCUCACCGUUCAUGUACCGGAGUUUUGAUUAUAAUCUUCGUUGUGAUCAACCCUUCGUUCUCACCUUUCGAUCUUGAUAUCAUCUUUCGAUUUUGAGUGGGUCUGCCGGCAAAUAGUCUCGUACCAAGCCAAAGGAUGAAUCGACAACUCUCAGCUCAUAUUGCUGAUAUAAAAGGGAAACGUAUAUGUUACGACAACGACGAUGAACCUAUCCAACUAACGGAUGAAGAUGAUUCUCCUACCAUUAAGGAUUAUCGUAUGUCACUGAUCGGGAAGAUCUUAAACCCUAAGAAACAAUCCGUGAUCAAGCUGAUCCAAACCAUGCCGGCGCAGUGGAAGAUGCACGAUAGGAUCACAGCUAAUGACCUUGGAAGUGGGAAGUUUCUCCUCAACUUUAUGAGUGAAGAUGAUCCUCAGUCGGUCCUUCGUCAAGGGCCGUUUCACUACAAUUUCUGAAUGUUCGUUCUUGUUCGUUGGGAACCCGUUGUUCACGACGAUUACCCUUGGAUCAUCCCUUUCUGGGUUGAGAUUACAGGCAUUCCAUUACAUUUAUGGACGAUCAAAAACCUAAGGAACAUUGGAGGCAGGCUUGGCCGUAUUGACACUGUCGAACUCUCGGCAGGACGCAUGCUGAUUGACGUUGACACUAGGAAACCGCUAACAUUCACACGGAAGAUAGCAUCACCUGGAGGAGAGGAGGUCUCGAUUCAAAUUCAUUACGAUAAGCUCUUCAAACAUUGUUCAUCUUGUGGGAUGUUGACUCAUGAAGUGGCUUAUUGUCCGAUGAAGUUUCCAGUUGAAAGAGAUCGUGGUGAGCGAACUGGUGUCUUUGAAAGGGUUCAGCUACCUACUGUCAAAACAUCUCGAGAGCCGUUGCCGCAAGACCAGAAACCUUAUGUCAGAUACGAGUCCUAUUCACGUUCUGAUCGUUACGGUAAGCGAAGCCGUCGCAGUAUAUCACCUCAAAGGAAACAUAUGCAUGAUGGUGGCUUCAUGAAUGAUGCUAGGGCUGGUUAUUAUCGUUCUGAGGCUUAUAAUGAAAGCUUUUUGAGAAAGCAAGGUGGCAAAGAGAACAGAUACAACUCGAGCUUCUCACGUCGCAACAAAAGGUACGCACCUUAUCAGAAACAACAAACUCAAGCAUGGGAGGUUAAGGAGAAAACGGAGAAACGCCGGGGCCUGGAGAUGAUAAGCUGUGAGCCUUAUGCUCAUGGAAUGACCUCAACGCUGACUGCCAGCCCGCCUCCUCAAAGGUCAGCGGAUAUAGACAUGGAGGAUCGCAGUAGCAGAAAAAAGAUUGCAAGUACGAUUGUAACUCCGUCUCGACAGGGAAGUGAUGGAAAUGUUACUAAAAGAGAUAGAGAAACAGUUCGCCUACUGUCUUUCUCUCCUAAGGAGAAAGACCAGCUGGAUGAUGCUCAGAUAAUAGGAGCUUUGAAUGGCAUGGAGAUCAUUGGCACAAGUAAUAUGGAGGAAGGGGAUCGUGAGGAUUCCUUGAUGGUUGUGGAUAAUGAUGAUGACUUGCUGGGGGAUGAACUCAUGGACAUGGAUGCUGAAGCCACAAAGGCCGCGGAAACUGAUGGAGCCAAGGGUGUGGAGGCUAUGAUAGGGAAACCUAAAGCUACGUCUUCACGCAAAUUUGGAAGCAGGGCUGGCAUCCCUCUCGGCCUUCCAAAAAAGAAAGCAGAGUUCCUCCGUCGGGGAUCUCCGAAGCUGCGUAGAUCAUCUUCUCGCGACGUACAACGCUCAGAAACUCAUCGUUCUGGACAGAAAAGGAUUCAUAGGGACAGUUCAUGCAGCAAUUCUGGUUUGGAGGGGUCCAAAAACACCUCCAGACAUCAUCCAUGAAGACACUCAGUUGGAACUGUCGAGGGAUUGGGAACGACCUCACAGUUCGACGCCUUAAGGAGAUGUGUCAGAAGCAUCGCCCAGGACUUGUGUUCCUUUCUGAGACGAAGAAUAAACGGCUGUUGUUGCAAAACAUUCAGACCGACUUAGGAUUUGAUCAUUUGUUUACUGUUGAGCCACUUGGACUCAGCGGAGGUUUAGCUUUAUUUUUUAUGGAUGAAUUUCAAGUUAAUGUUUUAUUUUCAAAUAAUCGUAUGAUUGACAUUGAGGCAGUCAUUGAUGGAAUAAAAGUCUAUAUGACGUUUGUUUAUGGAGACCCUGUAUUAGAAAGAAGAGAACAAGUUUGGGAACGUCUUACGCGUUUCUCAACAACAAGAAAUGGACCUUGGUUCAUGAUAGGAGAUUUUAAUGAAAUAACAUGUCAUGAUGAGAAAGCAGGAGGACGACAACGCCCUGAUAGUUCUUUUCUUCCUUUUAAGCAGAUGCUUAAUGAUUGUGGUAUGCUGGAAUUUCCUUUCACAGGUGAGAUGCUUUCUUGGGUGGGGAAGAGGGCAGGAGGAUCAACAGUCCGAUGUCGUUUAGACAGAGCUGUAGGAAAUGCAGACUGGCAUGAGAAGUUUCCCCACUCGGCUGUAAAGUAUAUGAGGCUAUGGGGAUCGGACCAUCGUCCGAUUCUUGCAGACAUACUCAUAAAGCCCACGAGAAGAUCCAAAAAGUUUAAGUUUGACAAAAGAUGGCUGGAUAAUGAAGAGCUACGGCAAGUUAUCCUUGAGGGAUGGAAAUCCCCUGAUCUCCCCCCAAUGCGUCUAUCAUGGAACAUAUUUCCAGCUGCAGGAGAGCAUUGAGUGAAUGGCGAAGGCAAAAUAAUGUCAAUUCGGCAAAAUUAGUGGAGGAGCUUAAAGAAAAAGUUGAAGGUUUGUAUGCAGAUGAUAGUGCCACAACUGAGGAAAUUGCAGCAGCCUUAAAGGAACUCUCAGAUGCCCUUAAAGCAGAAGAGAUGUUCUGAAAACAGAAGAGUCGGGUGUUUUGGUUGAGAGAAGGAGAUAGAAAUACAAAAUUUUUCCAUGCUUUGACGAAGCAAAGAAGAGCAAGGAAUAAGAUCACACAGCUCUUGGAUGAGAAUGGAAAUGUUGUUGAGGAUGAAGAAGGACUAGUAGCCAUUGCUACUAGCUAUUUUAGGCAGAUUUUUGAAUCAUCGAAUCAGGAGGAAAUUGAGGAGGCGCUAGCUCAAGUUCCAACAACGAUCACUGGUGAUAUGAAUGCUAACCUUACAGCCCCGAUCUCUGAAUGGGAAGUCAAAUUAGCGCUUUUUGCCAUGCAUCCAGAGAAGGCUCCAGGACCAGAUGGGAUGACUGCGCUUUUUUACCAGAAAUUCUGGGACAUAGUAAAAGAGGAUCUAACUCUUAUGGUUAAUAAUUUCCUCUUUGAGGGGGUGGUGGCGAAAGGACUGAAUGAUACAAAUAUAUGUCUCAUCCCGAAGGUAAUGAAGCCAAAUGCGAUGGCUCAGUUUAGGCCCAUUAGUCUGUGCAAUGUCAGCUACAAGAUUAUCUCUAAAGUCUUAUACCAGAGGUUAAAAAAAGUACUACCAGGCUUGAUAUCAGAAACCCAGUCAGCCUUUGUUGCUUGGAGACAGAUUUCUGAUAAUGUUAUGAUCGCUCAGGAAAUGUUCCACGCAUUGCGAACGAAGCCAAGUGGACGGAAUAAAAGGAUGGCCAUCAAGACAGACAUGAGCAAAGCAUAUGAUAGGAUGGAGUGGUCUUUUAUUGAAGUUGUCCUGCGUAAGAUGGGUUUCUCAGAAAUUUGGAUCAGCUGGGUCAUGCGAUGCAUUACAUCGGUGAAAUAUAAGGUUCUCAUGAAUGGAGAACCAAGAGGAAAUAUUACUCCAGGUAGAGGUUUGCGCCAAGGAGAUCCUCUGUCUCCUUUCAUUUUUAUUCUAUGCACGGAAGCGCUCGCUAGCCUUCUUAAUCAUGCAGAGAUACAAGGGAAGAUAACAGGGAUGCGUGUUACACGCACGUGUCCGUCGGUAUCCCACUUUCUCUUUGCUGAUGAUAGCCUUUUCUUCUGUAAGGCGGAGCCCCGUGAAUGUGAAGAAGUUAUGAAAGUAGUCAGAAGAUAUGGCAAAGCAUCUGGUCAAUGUAUCAACUUUGACAAAUCGUCCUUACUCUUCGGUAAGCGGAUUAAUGCAACUACUAGACAAGAGAUUAAAGAUGCACUUGGGAUACAGAAUGAAGGUGGAAUGGGAACAUACUUGGGCAUUCCCGAAGACAUAAGUGGAUCUAAAUGCAAGCUUUUUGCAUUCCUGAAAGAUAAGCUGAUGCAUAGAGUGAAUGGAUGGACAGGUAGAUGGCUCUCAAAAGGUGGAAAGGAGGUGUUGAUCAAAUCCAUCCUGCUUGCUCUUCCGACAUACGUCAUGUCGACUUUCCUGCUCCCAUUGGAGAUAUGUGAAAAUUUAGCUAGUGCCAUCGCCCAGUUCUGGUGGAGCUCGAAUCCACCUAAGAGAGGAAUACACUGGGCAAAAUGGGAAAAAGUGUGCCUACCAAGAGAGGAGGGUGGAAUUGGUUUCCGAAUGAUCCAUGAGUUCAAUCUGGCUCUUCUGGCUAAGCAAAUGUGGAGACUAGUACAGGUCCCUAAUUCUCUGGUCGCUAGAGUUUUACGGGGAAGAUAUUAUAAUUUGAGCUCUCCCUUGAGAGUAAACGCUGUGACUAGCCCAUCAUAUGUGUGGACUAGCAUUUCUGCUGCAAGAAAAUUGCUACUACUGGGUAUUAGGCAGAAGAUACAUUCAGGCUAUGAAGUUAAGGUGUGGGUGGAUCCAUGGAUCCCAUUGAGCCCCGCGAGGCCUGCUGUCCCCAUAGCUCCAGUGAUGCAUCCUAAUAUGAGAGUAAGCGAUCUUAUUGAUCAGGAAUCAAAGGAUUGGGAUGUGGGACUAUUGGAGAAUUAUGUUCAUCUUGCGGAUAUACCAUUCAUAAGGAGUUUGGCAAUAAGUUCAACUCAUCGUCGUGAUACCUUCUGCUGGGACUUUACAAGGAAUGGACAAUACAAGGUCAAAUCUGGAUAUUGGGUGGCCCAGAAUCUAUUAAAGAUAACAGAGGAAAAGGAUGUUUUAGAGCCUAGUAUUACAAAGCUCCAAUCCUUUGCGUGGAAAUUAAAGGCUCCUACGAAGAUAUGUCAUCUUAUAUGGCAGUUGGUAACUGGUCACGUGGCAGUAACGAGGAACUUAAUUAGACGCAAUAUGAGGUGUGAUAAUUACUGCCCAAGAUGUGGAGACGUGGAGGAGACCGUCACACAUGCAAUUUUUGAAUGUCCACCAGCUCUUCAAGCAUGGUCUUUAUCAUCAACUCCGACAGGCCCAAAUAUUUUCCCGGUUUCGAGCGUCUACACAAAUAUGGAUUAUCUAUUCUGGAGGAAGAAUAGUAUCAUUGGGCCAGAGUAUGAUAGGGAUCCAUAUCCCUGGAUAAUAUGGUACAUUUGGAAGGCUAGGAAUGAAAAACUCUUCAGGGGAACAGACAGAGAUCCAUUGGAACUAGUUAGACAUGCAGAGAGUGAAUGCCAAGCUUGGUUUGAUGCGAAUGAUGUGGUACAAACUGAGGCACAAGAUAAUAUAAGUGAGGAACCCCAAGUCGUACGCUUGAGGAAUAUUUGCUUGUUAGAUGGCUCUUGGACAUCUUCUGCUAACUUUAGUGGAAGCGGAUGGGCAUGGAUGGAUAGCUCUGGGGAGACUCAACUUAUGGGAGCAAGGAACCUUCCCCGACGUGAAUCAGCCUUACACUCGGAAGUAGAAGCACUACGGUGGGCGAUGGAGAACAUGCUACAAUAUUCGACCUGUCAGAGCUUUGGAACAGAUUGUAAGGAACUGAUUGCAAUGGUAAAGGACCCUCAGGCAUGGCCAAGCUUUUCGACAGAAUUGGAGAGGAUAGGAACGCUACAGAUAUGCUUCCCAGCUUUCAACAUCUCUCACGUUCCACGGACGCACAAUCGGACUGCUGAUUUUUUAGCUAAGACUGCUAGAUCUUUCCAUAGAGAAUUACAUUUUGUUGGUUGUUCUAUUCCGGUUUGGUUACCCAGACCACCUCAAGUUUGAGUAAUAGAAUGGCCUUUUGACGUCAAAAAAAAAAAAUCAUAACUUAAAAUGAUACACAAAAAUAGACAGAGAAAUAAAAGGUCCACCAAAGAAAACACAAUAUGCACUCCCACAUAUAAUCAAAGAAAUGAGAACUUAAAAAAUCGGUGCACAAAAAAAAAUUGGUAGAUUAUUAAAUUUUAUAACAAAUUUUAAAUAUUUGACAGAAUACAGAGAAAAUAAAAAAACAGAAAAACUAAAAACUGCAAUAAAGACUAAAGCUACAAAGAAAAACAAGCAAAAGCAACAAACAAAAAACACCUAAAAAUAAAUUAAGGGGAUCAUGGAUGAUAAAGCACCAAUUCCGAGUAUAGAACUCGAACAUUUGCAAAGUUGCCGCAGAUCCAAAGAACUGGAAUCCUCAUCUUUGUUGCCAAGAGCUCCUCUUUCCGAGACCUGCCCUAAAACCUCGCAAGUGAGAAGAGCCUAUAGCUUCUCCAAGAACUAUGAAAACGAAUCAACUUCAGAAGAUCAAGCUACACCCGGCGGCAUAGGAGCUUCUACUAGCAGUCAGAGAAGUUGCCUCCGGCCAGCAUCCUCAAGCUAUAAAUCCUGAAGAAUCAUCUCCCAAGGUUGCAACAGAGCCGCCAAAGUCAGACCGAUGCCUCUAUUCAACACCUAAUCACCACCAACACUGCAGCAGACCAAAACUCAAUUGAAUAAUCACAUGUCCAUAACCUUUAAAGCGAAGCCACGCUGGAAACCAUAACAGAUCUGGAUAGAUCCGAAGAGCAAACAAAGGGGAAACUCUGAAC
Molecule: long non-coding RNA, 44415 nt
Filed under: Brassica rapa (field mustard)
Lineage: Eukaryota; Viridiplantae; Streptophyta; Magnoliopsida; Brassicales; Brassicaceae
Description: long non-coding RNA (BRAP_LNC004953)
Source: RNAcentral